Jaculus jaculus (lesser Egyptian jerboa) is the source of this 818-nucleotide long non-coding RNA. RefSeq lists it as uncharacterized. The transcript has 4 exons. Lineage: Eukaryota; Metazoa; Chordata; Mammalia; Rodentia; Dipodidae. The record is from RefSeq and is a predicted model, not a curated record.
GGAACCUUGAGGAGGCAAAACCUCACUGAAGGAUGUGUACCACUGUGGGUGGGCAUUAAGGUCUUGUAGUCCAAUCCUAUUUCCUGUUCUCUGUCUACUUCCUGACUGUGGGUGAAAUGUGAUCAGCUACCACCUUCUACUGCCUUCCCUGACAUGAUGGACUGUGUCUCCUGGAAUUAUAAGAUUGUAGUAAAUCACGAACAGUCUGAAAGUACAUUGAGAUCAUAAGCAAAGUGUUUAAUGUGGCCAAAUGUAAAAUUUACAGUGACAAGAAGCAUUCUAGCCAUUUGUGCCAGGUACUCCAGAAAGUCACCUACCAACCACCAAAUUGCAAAAAUAUAUUGAAGAAUGCAGAUCCUGAGGAAAGAGUCAGCCCAUCACACCACAACAGGGCCCAAGAUGAAAUGAAGAGUAACUGGAGAAAUGAGCAAGUAUGCUGCUUUCUUGGUGAACUUAAUACCAGCACAAGAGUGAAGGACACAGACAGAGAGAACACUCAAUUCCUGCCAAACCAGAUAUCCAGAGACACAGAAGCUCCCCGGACAUCAUCACUAAAGUAGACCUAAAACGAACAUAAUAUGCCUCAUGGAAAUUCAUGGUAGAGGGGGUGGAAAAAUGGUUAGAGCCACACAUUGGUUCAUUAUGCACAGAGACAUUGCCUCUUUCCCAUAACUGAUGGCUAACCACACAGUGCAUGACCCAUAUUCCCCAACAAAUAGGGUCCCACCCAAGGUGGCAGGAUAGGGAGGAGGCUAAUGAUGGUAACAACAUGACUGUAUAAACAUUAUGUGCAUAACUAUAAAAAAACUUGGAGAAAA